CCCGCAGGGCGAUCCCCACCUGCGCACGGCUCACGGGCUCCUCAGCUGCUACUGGGCCGGUACCGUUCACUGCGGGCUGGGCCUGGCGCUGGCCGGGGCCGCGGGGCGCAGGAAGCGCUGCCGGCCGCUGGGGCUCUUCUGGCUGGGCUCGCUGCUGAUGAGCGCCGUGGUUUUCCUGCUGGGCAGCCUGAUCGGGAAGUACAGCUCCGAGCUGAGCCCGGCCUUCCUCCUCAACCUGCCCUACCUCCUCCUCCUCGCCUGGACCGGCCUCCGGCUCUUCCAGCAGCCGCGGGCGCCGCCGAGCCUCAGCCCCGCCGAGUGCCUCUCGCAGAUUGAGGAGGAGCAGCGCAAACCCCUCCACCGCCGGCCCCUG
This is a non-coding RNA of Lonchura striata (white-rumped munia), 373 nucleotides long. The record is from RefSeq and is a predicted model, not a curated record. Lineage: Eukaryota; Metazoa; Chordata; Aves; Passeriformes; Estrildidae.